UGCUAAGCGGCGGGCGGGGGGCUCCUCCCGGAGAUCACCGGCGGCCUGCUCGCCUGUGAGUACGUGCAGCGGCCCGAAGAGGCGCGUGCUCGCAGGGGGAGGCGCCGGAUCUCGCGGGACAAGUGCGUCCACAGCGUGAGGUACCUUGUAUGGGAUGAAGUGAAGGCUGUUUUAUUAAUCAAUCAUCUUAUUAUGUGCACAAUAAGCUUUUGCUAUGCUUUCACCGUUGAUGCCCACUGGUUGGAUCAUGCUUCUGUUUACGAGCUCAUUGAAAAAAACCAUUUGCAUGGCACUCAGUCAAAGGCAAGAUUUGAAGAUUAAACAUUCCAAAGAGCAUGACAGGUUUGAAGAUUAAACAUUCCAAAGAGCAUGACAGGUAGCAUCGAUGCCACAAGUGAGGUUUGUUGCAAUUGUUGAUUCAGUGUAGCUUAUAUCAAGUGUUCCAAGUUCUACAUGUGUUGGAUUUAGAAUAUUGUGCUGGAUGCCUCCAUUCUUGCCAUUCAUAAUGAUUUAAGAGCACUGAAUUUGUCUUGGUGUUUUGAUUUGUUUUCCUUCUGCAACGACAUGAAGCUCUCAUUUUAUUUGUACCCACUUGUGCUGAAAUAUGUUGUCACUUUGCUCCUGCAAUUGACUGAUGAUUAACUUGUUUUCCCAUUUAUUUAUCUUGUAAGGAUUCUUGCUGGUUAAUCUGCCUGAUUUUAGCUGUCCAUUGCGUCUCUUAUAUUUAUAACAGCUUUCAGUGUCGUUUUACUCUACACUGGAAUGAAAUUUUAGGUCAUUCAGUUUGUGCAAUGUUCUGAGAUUUCACCUUUUAGGUCAUUAAUUUUGUUUAUGGCCCUCUAUGUGACACAUUUGUUUGAAUUUGACUGCACAAAUGUGGCAGUGCUACUAGCCUGAAUUGGUGCCUAUGAUUUUUAGAUGUAAAAUGGUUUGGAUAAGCAGGCAAUACGAUAACCUUUUAUAGCUUACAGUUAUAACGUCUUAACUGUUACUCUUUUGGCUUUCUGACUGCAGCAGGAAUGGCACAAUUGAGGGCAUUGUCCAUUUAAUGCCUGUUUCUGUUGAGUGUUCAAUGGUUUAAGUUCUCCUCUUCUUGGAUUUAGUUUGGAUAUAUGCUUCCAUUCUUGUCAACUGAGACGGCCUGAGAACACUGCAUUUGCCUUGGUGUUUUGAUUUGUCUUUCUUCUGCAACACAGACAUGAGAGUUCUCAUUGAGAUUCUACCCACUUACUCAGCAGUGCCUGCUGUACUUUGCUCAUGAAGGACUUCUUUUCUCCAUUUCUCUGUUAUGUAAGGAGGAGUAUAUAAGUAAGGUGUACUGCUGGGCUUGGACUAUGUCUUUCUGUUUCCAGCAGCUUGUCGAGUCAGUUUUACUCAAUACUUUUGGACUGAAAUUUAAGUCGUUCAGUUUAUACAACAUAUUGUACACCUUUUAUUUGUAGAUGUUGCUAUUGCCUUGCUUCUUCCGCAGUUUUCUUCUCUUCUUUUGUGUGGAUUGCAGCUAGCAAAAUGUAAAGUUCAUGGUGGGUCGGUUUGGAGGGUUCAUAUUUCACAAUUGUUAUUGUGUGGUUCACCCUAGAAUUUGAGUUUAACGCAUACUUGUGCAAUUUUGGUUAGGAGUAUCAUGCUUGUUUUUAUAUGUAAUUGCUAUGUUUUGAGGCUACUUAUUUUAUUUAACCCAUUAUUUGCCAUUUGAAAAUAAUGUUGGCAUCGACAGUUCCUAAUUACAAAUGCUUAUCACUGGUUACCGCCUAAUGCUUGCUUGGUUUUCGGUGUGAUUUCAGCUUCGUUUAUAUUUGUGAAACAAUAGUACAUCCAAAAGGAGAAGUUGUUGAGGCGACUAGUCAUGACUAGUCGAGACUAGUCGCGCGAGUCGCUCGACUCAUCCCAGGAGUCGAGUCGAGAGGCUGAGUCGGCCCUGGAACUGCGACUCGUGGUCGACGACGAUGACUAGUCGAGCGACUCGAAAUCCAUGGUUACCGCCUAUGCUUGCUUGGUUUUUGGUGUGAUUUCAGCUUCAUUUAUAUUUGUGUAUAUAUGCACCACCCAUGUUUUGUGAAACAAUAGUAACAAGACGCGGUGCUUGAAACUCAUGAGUAACAAGACAACGAAAAACCAUGACAGCCUAUAACACAGGCGAAGUAGUUGAGCUGAUAGUCAUGACAGCCUAUAACACAGGCGCGGUGCUUGAAACUCAUGAGUAACAAGACAACGAAAAACCAUGCUAAAGCUGGAGGGAUUCAUAGAAAAUGCAUAGGAAAAAAAUCCCUGAGAAAUCUACCUUCGCUACAUUUUGGAGUGUAUGGAAACAUCGGCCAUAUGGGUCCACCAAGUAGAGAACAUAAAUAUCCCCUGCUGUUUCUACUUUCAUCUGCUAGUUUUGAUGUUGUUUUGGAUAAUAGAUAACCUAGGCUUUGUAUCUGGUAGCAUUUAUUAGAGAUUCAGUCUAAUGUACUUCGCUGUAGCGGUGCUGCCAUGAAGUUCGGUUUAUAAACCUCUGUUGUGUAAACAUACUGUUGAUCUGCUGAACUAAAAUUAUGACCCUGUUUACCUGUGGUGGUGCACUUCACAACAAUUUUACUUGUUCUUUCAUAGUUCUACUCCUAUCGUAUAAAUGUUGAUGUCAUAACACUAGCUGCUGGCACCGUGGCACGCCUAUCUCUGGCUCAUGGAUGUAAAGGUCUACAUGUACAUCUCUGAAAAUACAAUUUAUAUUUCUUCC
Long non-coding RNA from Triticum dicoccoides, 2722 nucleotides. RefSeq lists it as uncharacterized. The transcript has 3 exons. The record is from RefSeq and is a predicted model, not a curated record. NCBI's taxonomy places the organism in Eukaryota, Viridiplantae, Streptophyta, Magnoliopsida, Poales, Poaceae.